This 13960-nucleotide long non-coding RNA is filed under the name Homo sapiens (human). Its description in RNAcentral is "non-protein coding lnc-CCDC173-6:3". Lineage: Eukaryota; Metazoa; Chordata; Mammalia; Primates; Hominidae. The record is from RNAcentral.
AUGCUGGCACCCAGAGAAAGACAGAGUCAGAGCUGUCUGUCUUUGCAGACGGCCAUGCAGCUGCAGGUGUGGGGGCUGCUGAAUAAAGCCAUGUCUCAUCUACCUGCUGUCUCUCUAGUGUUCUUCCAGUUUCCUGCCCCACAUCCACCCACUCCCCUCAGCCCUCAGCUGGGGCUGGAACCUAACCCUGAGCAUACUUGGUGUAGUCAGCAGGAUGAGGUGAGUAGGUCUUCAGCCCCUGAGGCUCCCGGGUUGGCUAUGUGGCCACAGCAUGGGCUGUGGUACCCCGUGGCAGAGAUGCUGCUCGGGUAGGCCCCAGUGGAAACGUGGGAGGCAGUGAAUGGGUCUCCCAUGAGUGUGGAGAAGCAUCUGGAAGCUCACAGCACCAAGAAGGAAUGACCUUUGCCGGCAGAGUCGGAUGGGCGUUUCUGAUUCAGUCAGAAACUGAGUUUCAUGCUCAGUCCCUGCAGGACACAGCACAGAGGGAGAAGCUGGAUUCUAUCACAACUCAUCCCUCCCUUCAUCAGCAGCUGCAGCUGUGUGGACAGUUAGCACAAGGGCAGGAUGACCACACGUUAAUCGAGUGGCUAAUGGCAGCCAUAUGGACUGUUUGGAAUGACGCCAGAAAGAUACCAGAAACUGUGAGUAAAUGGCAGUCAUAUACUAAUUUGGUGCAGAUACUCUGAGAGCUGGGUAUGCAGCAGGCUGUUUGAUCUAAACACCCGGGGACCAGAUGAUGAACACUUUACCUCGCACAUGAGGAGUCUUGUGCUGGGCUCAUUGCCCCCGAGUGCUUUUGACUCUCUAGCUGCUGUUCUCACCCCAUAUGUGGGGUGCCACAUACAUGAAGUGACUACUGUUAUGGCAGUCCUGGGGGAGGCAGAAGGCAUCAGCUGGACCGGGGAACCCGUGCCAGAAAGAAGGGGAAGGUGCCCCCUCCGCAGAUAACCAUCCCAUGUGAUAAAAAGCAGCCUGGCAGGUGACCUGCAUGCAGAUGUGGAUUGAUUUACUUGCAGCUGGGGUUGCUCCGGAGAAAACUAACAGGCAACCCAAUGGAAUGCUCUUGGCUCUUUGGAGGCAACUGUCCCCAGAGCAGCAAUUCCGGAGAAUGCUUAAAUGGGGGGUGAAGCAAUGUUGUUCAACCCACUCCCGCCUGGACACCGCAACUCAAGGACUGUUUGCAGACAGGCGGAGAUAUGGAGCCUUUCUUGUUUGAUUAGGGAACUGGCUGAGAUAUGCAGCUCGGUGUGGGGAACCAGACAACCAGAGGCUGUAUGUGGUGCUAGUAAUCCGCUGGUCCCCGACUAAUGUACAGUGGGUCACAGCGGGUCCUAGCACUGGUAGAUACUGGUGCAGACUGCAGCCUAGUUUAUGGGAACCCGGAUAAGUUUUCUGGCAGAGCUGCAUUUAUUACCAGCUAUGAAAGCUGGUCAGUGAAAGUGAAACCUGUGUCUCUUUAUCUUGGCAUCAGCCACUUGGCUCUCCGCCUAUACACUGUGUAUGUCUCUCUCAUACCUGAAUAUAUUCUGGCAGUGGACAUUUUGCAUGGUCUGGACUUGCACACCAUGGCUGGAGAAUUCAGGCUCUGAGUUAGUGCAGUAAAGCUGAUACUGCAGGGACAAUACACAUCACCAGCCCAAGCUCUGCCACAACCCCAACAGGAUACCUCCACUCAUCAAUACUGUUUGUCAGGGGGGCAUACAGCCAUAACUGAGACUAUUCAGAAGUUAGAGGAGGUGCAAAUAGUGCAUGGCACCCAUAGCCCCUACAAUUCCCUGGUAUGGCCAGUCAGAAAGCCUGAUGGAACUGGGCGAAUACCAGUGGAUUAUCGGGAACUGAAUAAAGUAACACCCUCUCAGCAUGCAGCUGUACCCUCCAUCAUGGAUUUGAUGAACCGCUUGACAACGGAACUGGGACAGUACUACUCUGUGAUGAAUGUGAAUAAUGCAUUCUUCUCCACUGACAUUGCUCCAGAGAGCCACGAACAGCUUGCCUUCAUGGGAGGAUGACAAUGGACUUUCACAGUGUUGCUGCAGGGCUAGAUGCAUAGCCCCACCAUGUGUCAUCGUUUUAUUGAUAAUGUCAUAUUAACCUCCGAUUAUCUUGCAGAUUUGAAAGCGACAAUGCCCCUCUUGCCUGGGAUUGGAUGGUGAGGUUGAGACAGCUGUCCUGGCUAUCUCAAGCAGGCUAUUUAGCAGGCACAAGCCCUAUGGGUAGUUGAUCAGAGGUGCCCAUUUAGGCUAGAUGUGCAUGUGACCACAGAUAGUUUCAGUUAGGGCCUAUAGCAGUGCACGGAGUGCUUGAGUAUGCCAGUAGGCUUUUGGCCCCAACUAUGGAGCUGAGCUUGUCUUUAUUGAUAGAGAAGCAGUUAGUAAUAGCAGGAUGGGUAUGUUCAUGGAUAAUGACCCCCUGGACUGGGAAGCAGUUAGUAACUGCAUAUGCUGCCCUUCAGACUCAUAAGAGCAUGGCAGAACAGGCUACAGUCAUCAUGCAGAUGACUUACCCAAUAGCAGGAUGGCUGCUACGUUCAUGGGUAGCGACCCUUCCAGACUGGGACAGCACAGACUGGGACAGCACUUUAUCAAAGUGGGGCACCUACUUAGAGCAGUGAAGUACACUGAAUACAAGUCCCUUAGCAGCAGAGUUACAAGAGGUCUUAGGGCCUGUAGUCCUCAUGCAAGAUAAGGCCAUGGAGCCUGAGGCACCCCCGGCCCCAUUCCUGAUGAGGCAUAAUAUAUAGACAGGUCUAGCCAGAGUACUGCUGCUGCCUGGAUUGCUGCUGCAGUCCAGCCUACUACUGACAUUAUAUGGUUUGAUACCAAGAGUGGGCAAAGUAGCUAAUAAGUUGAGCUCAGGGCAACACGGAUGAGGAUCACCAAGGAGGUGACACCCAUGGUAAUCUACACCAAUGCUGGGCAGUUUAUCAACGCUUAACAUUGUGGUUAAUUACCUGAAAGUUACAGAAUUAGUUAGUCACCAGCCCAUGUAGGGCCAGGCCAUGUGGCCAGAUCUAUGAGAGGAAGGAUGACCCUCUCCAACCAGGUAUGGGGACAAACGGCAAUCUGUUAUUGCCUGCCCCAAUGCCCCUAAAGGUAGGGAAACAAACAAACAAACAAAACCUGGUGUUAGCCAUGGACCCUCCAAGCCCCUCACUGCAGAUGGUUGGCUAUCAUAGCCCCCUUGGGGGAGGGUCUGCAGUAUGACUUAUAUGUUAUUCCCUGGGUAUUUAAUGUGUGGCCUCCAUGAUUGACUGUUCGUAGGGGAAUAGCCAGGAAAGGAACCCUCCUCUGGUGGGGGGAACAUAUGUACUGUCUGUGUGGCCUAUUAUGAGCUCCCUUGUGACUUUGGCAUGGAUACAGGACCCAAAAGAACCACAAGCAGCUGAUAAGGUGUGGUACCAUCACCCAGGGCAGAAGCCCUUGGCAGCUACAUUGUUAUCUAGAGAUAAAAGUUGGCUUGCAUUUGGCCUAAGGGACAUGAUUUACCCUUGUUAGUAUCUGUGCCUACUUUGUCAUUCUGGCCGUAGGUUGGCAUGCUCCAACUGCAUUGUGGACUGGGCCCACACCUACGCUGAGGUGACCAAUGUCUCCAACUGUUGGAUCUGUACUACCCUUCCAGCAGCAGCUGUGGAUGGCUUGCCCUGGCACAUGCACCCAGCUUCUGUGAAAAACUGGACACGACUAGAAACUUGUGGUUCCACAGACAAUUGGUGGGAUGCAACACGGCAGGCUUUGGACAGGGGGUGUCGCAAAACCCAUGGCAAGCCUGCCCCCUGGCUGACUCGUAGUGUCUAUGAUGGGUGGGGCUGGCUAAUGGGAGAACACGUGGUGCCCCCAUCGCAGGUACCACGAUGCAUAGAGCAGCACUGGGGUGAAGUCACUGUGGGAUGGUGGCCUGCUGAGGUUUGUGCAAACAUAACAUGUCACCACACCAAGGGUGUUGUGGAACAAGCGGCCUUACCAAGGCUGGGCUCCAAUGGACUUUGUGCCCCCUGAGAGUUUAUGGGUCUGUGGGGCCCAUAAACCAAAUGGCGAUAUCUACCAGCCAAUUGGACUGGAUGUUUUACUUGGGGGUGGUUUUCUGUGCCUGCCACUGUGCUUCCCACAUUGCCUAGUUGCCCGAAUAACUGGGAGGCACUGCGUUCCCAGUUUUUGCCACCCUCUGGUGGCUCCACCCCUUAGCAAUAACUAUCCCUGGAGCAGGUGUCGUUACUAUAGAAAUGCAAGUUACAGCCCUUGCAGAGCACACAGCUCGGGCCCUGAAUUACACCCGAGUUGCUCUCCUUUUGCUAACUGAUGAGGUUGAUCAGAUCAGGAAGGUGGUGCUGCAAAAUCGGAUGGCCUUAAACAUAGUCACAGUUGCUCAGGGUGGCACCUGUGCCCUUGGAGGGACACAAUUUUGUACAUUUAUCCCUGACAUCCACUAGAACAUAAUGGUAGCUUUACAAGGGGUGUCACAGGAGAUUAAGGCUAUUGAGCACCUUACUGAUGACCCUCUGCAGAGACAGUGGGUGCCUCUGGGCACUACCCUAUGCUGGGCUCUAAUAAUCAUAGGUAACGUAACAGGAAUAUUUAUAGUAGGUUGUUGUUCUCUGUAUUGUUGUUGUGACCUAUGAGUUCAGGGUGCUGCCCUAUGUGCAUGGAUCCCCACUAAAAGAACUCCCUCAUUCCAGGGGGUGGAAUGUAAGGCCUGUGUGCCAAGCCUGUUUAUCAAACUCGUGUGCCCAAAACUUAUGUAUAAGGCCUUGUGUGUGUAUAUCAAGCCUAUGUACCCAAAGCUUAUGCAUAUAACCUGUAUCCAAGGCCUAUGUCUCCCUUGGCCUAGGGGGUGGAGUGUAAGGAACAUGGCUGUGCUUUGGUUAAGGAUAGGCCGAGGUAGGAUGUUUACAUCCUGUGUGACUCAGCAGGUUUAGAGCGCAGGCAUAUAACUCCACUUGUUAUCACAGCCAUGUAGCCAUACAUGGGAAGGCCAUCAGUUGGCUCUAUGCCACUAUUGUCUGUAAAAUGUAUGAUUGCCCUGUUGACGUUGUGCUGGUGCACUGGGAGAGAGAGUCAGAGCCGUCCUUUGCAGACAGACGGUGGGGGAGCCAGGACACAGCUUGGCUCACUUGUGCCCAGAGAAACAGUUAAGCUACUGACCCUGAAGCCAAGGGAGAGCUGGCCAUGCAGCUGCAGGUGUGGGGGCUGCUGAAUAAGGCCAUGUCUCAUCUACCUGGUGUCUCUCGAGUGUUCUUCCAGCUCCCUGCCCCACAUCCACCCACUCCCUCAGCCCUCAGUUGGGCUGGAACCUGACACUGAACACGACAAAGGCUGACCCCCAAAUGGUUUUAAAUUACAGUAAAACAAAAACCUCCUUCUAAAGGCCUUAAAAAUUGGAUAAUGACUUAGUUUCAUUCAAAGGAUAGAUUUUAAAAGCCCCUUAUAGCCAUAGCCAGACCUAGAGACCACUCAAAUCCAUAAUGAUACUGGAAUUAUAGAAUUUUAGAACUGGAAAGUAUUUAGGGGGAUAAAAAUCCAUUAAUCUAGUCAUUUUACAGAAAAUAAAAUGAGUUCCAGAAAAGUGAAAUUAUUUACAAAAGUCACACAGCUAAUUAGCUAUUAGAGCUAGGACUAGAAUUUAGUUAUCUUGACUCAAGAUAACCUGCUUUUGAAGUAUCCUUUUAUUACUUAGUUCUGUGACCUUGCUGAGAUUUUCUUAUAUAAAAGAUUGGAAAUAUGUAAAUAUUUAAAUUUUAUUCUUAAAUACUAUUUAUUAAUACAGAGAAAUACUCCUGCUAUAAUUUUAAGUGACACAAUAGUACAACAAUUGUUAAGAACAAUCCACCUGUGUCAAAGAGACACAUACACAAACACACAUCCAUAUACACAUACAAGCUUGGAGAAAAUUCUGAAAGGAUCUCAUUGUCCUAGAUGGUGGCAUUAUGGGCAAUUAUUUUGCAAAUGUCACCCAGUGAAGAAGCAAUGGUGCCUUUGGAAAGUAUGUAGCUCUUAGUUAAGCUUUUAUCUGGAAGGUGCUGGAGAAGGUCUGGGCACAGAGCUGGUUGGCUCCAUGGUUUUGUGACCUGUGCCAUCACAUAGGACCCCAUGUUCAGAAGGACCCCACUCUUGGUUUAAUGCUCUGCUGCCGUGUCUUGAAAUUCUUAAUAAUUUUUUUGAACAAGGGAUGCUGCAUUUUCACUGUGUUCUGGGCCUAAUGAUUAUGUAGUCAAUCUUGUCUGGCAGCUCUUCUCUGGCCCAUUCACUGGUAGAUGAUUGUGGGGUGGUUAUUUCUUUAAAUUUUUCAUUUAAAAAAAAUCAUAUUCAUAUUAUUAAAAAUUAAAAAAUAGAUUUGCAGAAAAAUUAGAUCACCCUUAGAACUCUCAAGGGCAGAUACAUUUUAACUAGCAUCUCUUCACACAUCACAAUGAUGCUUGGUGUUUAGUCUGAAGGAUAAAAAACAAUUCAGUAUUUUAUAGUAUAAAUUGCUAAACACAUAAUUACAAAAAAAGUAUGCCUGUGAAAUUAGGCUAUCUAUUCCUUGAGAGAUGGAAUUAGAUAUUAGUUUUCUAUUGCCACAAAUGUAGCAAUUUAAAGCAAGAGUUUAUUAUCUCCCAGUUUCUGUAGGUCAUAAGUAAGGCCAUAAUGUGACUGGGCUCUCUGCUCAAAGGUCUCACCAAGCUAUAAUCAAGGUGUCAGCCUGGACUGUGUUUCUCAUCUGAGGCUUGAGGUCCUCUUCCAAGAUCAAGUGGUUGUUGGCAGAAUUCAUUUCCUUGCAGGACUGAGGUCCCAGUUUCCUUGCUGGCUGUCAUCCAGGAACUGCUCUCAGCUCCUAGAGGUUGCCCACAUUCCUUACUACAUACCUGCGUCCAUCUUUAAGCCAGCAAUGGCCUAUAUGCUUCAACUCUCUGACUUUCUCUUCUGCAACCAGCCAAGAAAAUUCUUUGCUUUUAAAAGGCUCAUCUGAUUAGGGCAGGUCCACCUGGAUAAUUAGGUCAACUGUGCCAUAAAACGUAACCUAGUCAAGGUAGUAGAUACAUCAAAUUUACAGUAACAGGGUGUGUACAGUGGGGGUAAGUCUUGGGGACCAUUUUAGAAUUCUGCCUACUACAACUGUCCUAAAGAGACUCAUGUGACAAACAAGAGGUUUCUAUACUCUACUUCUCUAUCCAACCCUAUCAUGACUUUAAUAGUCUUUUCAGCCAGGCACAGUGAUGCCCACCUGUAAUCCCAGCACUUUGGGAGGCUGAGGCAGGAGGAUUGCUUGAGAUUAGCAGUUUGAGACUAGCCUGAGCAAUAUAGCGAGAACUUUGUCUCUGCUAAAUAAAUAAAUAAAUAAAUAAAUUGGGCAUGGUGGUGUGUCCCUGUAUUCCCCCAGCUACUUGGGAGGCUGAGACUGGAAGAUUGCUUAAGUCCAGGAGUUUGAGGUUGCAGUGAGCUGUGAUUGCAUCACUGCACUCCAGCCUGGGCUACAGAGACACUGUCUCCAAAAAAAAAAAAAAAAAAAACAAGUCUUUGCAAUUCACAUUUAACUCUAACAUCUCUAUUUUAUAAGUGCAUGUUUAAGCAUAAUAAAAACUGGCCAUGACAAAUUUGCUUAUCUUUGGGGAAAACAGAGAUCCUUUUGUUUGCAAAGAAAAAGAUUUAAAGAAGAAUCUUGCAUUCAAAAAGCCUAGUUAGUGUAUAUCAGUAUAUUUAUUUCAUUAAGUUUAAUACAACCUAAUGAGAUAAUAAGCCAUAUACUCAAUUUAAAUGUAUAUAUUUAAAAAUGAAGGUUAAGAACAUAUUAUCUAGAUACAUAUAAUCAAGUAUAAGAUUUAGAAAAUAUUAACACAAUAUAAUGCAAACAUUUGUCACAAAUAUGCGAAUGUUAGCAUCCUCCCUAUAUGAAGUACUCAGACAAAUAGAGAAGCAGAACACAAGACCCUGCAAAUAAAUGACCAAAGAACAUGCCCAGACAUUUAAGAAGUAGUAGAAAUGACUUAAGUCGGAUCUCAAUGAACUCAUAUUUAUUCGGUGUAUAGGAUGUGUGAGAUGCUGGCAUAUGGCAAGUACAGGGCUGCUAUUCAGCCAAAGGCACUGUUAGGGGGGUUUGUGGCCAGCAUCCAUUCUUAUUAGUUGGUGAUUAUUAUCUGAUAGGUUGGUGCCUUGGUGCCUUGUAGUGUUUGUUAAAUGUUUUGAUUAUUAGUGAAUGUGUGUCAAAUGCUUUAUCACCUCGUAGUAGGCUAAAUAAUGGCCACAGAAAGACAUCAUGUUCUAAUCCCUGAAACUUGUAAAUGUUGCCUUGUAAGAAAAAUGGGUUGCAGAUGUGAUUAAGGAUCUUAAAAAUGAGGGGAUUAUCCUAGAUUAUCUGGGCGGGUCCUAAAUGCAAUCCUUAUAAGAAAGGGGCAGAGGGGAAUUUGAUACAGAGAGAAGAGGAGAAAAGAAUGUAACUAUGAAGGCAGAGAUUGGAGUGAUGCAGCCAUAAGCCAAAGGCCUGUGGCCAUCAGAAGGUGGAAGAGGCAAGGAAUGAAUCCCCCCUAGGGCCCGCGAAGGACCGUGGUCCUAUUGACACCUUGAUUUCAGCUCAGUGAAACUGUUUUGGACUUUUGGUCUCCAAAACUGUGUUUUAAGUCACCCAGUUUGUAGUAAUUUGUUACAGCAGCCACAGUAAAUUAAUACAAUGCCUAAUUCAGUAAAUCUUCACAAUAAUCUCAGGAGAUAGGGAAUUUCAUUAUCCCCACUUAAAAGAAAACCACAAUAUUAAGAAGCUAUUUAUUCAAUUCAGAGCUAGAAUUCAAAUUCAGGUCUUUCUAAUUCAGAGUGGAGGUCUUACCACUAUGUUGCAUUAGAAAAUAAAAAUGAGAUUCCAGAAUUACUCUUUCUGGAGGAAGUGGGACUGGACUAAUCCUCCCACUGUAAAUAAUUUAAAAACUGGACAAAAGAUAUGAAAUAACAGUUUUCAAGCAUUGGUCAACAAGCAGUACAGAACUGUGGUCCCUGAGAGAGAAGAAACAAAUGAGGAGAGCCUUAUAAUUGCCUGUACUUUUGCCUGGAGACACAUUCCAGCCCAAGGUGCGGGGAGGGGGGGAUCCCCCAAACAGACCACAGUAGUCUUGUUGAGUUGAAGGAAUGGAGAUCAGUUUGGGGAGGCAAAAGUGGCUGGAAUUUGCAGGGCAGAGUACCAGAAAGGAAGAAGGUAAAUCAAGAAAGAGUUCCAGAAAUCUGCAAGGGAGGAUGUCCCCUUGAGUCUGUGGUUGAAUACUAAGAUAUACUUGUGUAGGAUGAAACCCAGUAAGUCUGGGCAGAGAAUGACCCUCGGAACUAUAAGCUAAACAAUUCCCAGAGCUCACACAAAGCUGGAAGACACUUGAGUCCCAAUCAGCCCCAGAGAAACACUGGUUUAAUCAACUGGGGAGCAAAGAAGAAAAGAGAAAAGACAAUACUUACGUAAAAAAGGCGGAAGAAAAAAAAGGAUGGCUACAUAGAAUAGAUAGAUAUAUGACAAAACAAGAAGAGUCAAAUGUUAAUGGUAGAAUCUAGAUAGUGGGCAUAUAGGCAUAUGCUAUAAAAUUAAAGGGUUAAUAAAAGAACAUUAUGAAAAACAUGCUCAUAAAUUUCACUACUUUGACCAAAUGAACAAAGUCCUCAAGUGACACUAGUGGUUUUUAAAUGUCCACACAUUUUUUUGACUUUCAUUCACCCCAAGGUGGUGUCUAAUUCUCCUCUUUUUCAGUGUGGGUUAGACUAGUGUUCUAUUUUAACAAACAGAAUAUGGCAGAAGUAAUGGUGUGCCACCUUUUUUUUUUUUUGAGACGGAGUCUCAAGCUGUUGCCCAGGCUGGAGUGCAGUGGCGCGAUCUCGGCUCACUGCAAGCUCCGCCUCCCAGGUUCACGCCAUUCUCCUGCCUGAGCCACCCGAGUAGCUGGGACUACAGGUGCCCACCACCACGCCCGGCUCAUUUUUUGUAUUUUUAGUAGAGAAGGGGUUUCACCGUGUUAAGUCAGGAUGGUCGUGAUCUGCCCGCCUCGGCCUCCCAAAGUGCUGGGAUUACAGGCCUGAGCCACCGUGCCCGGCCUCUGCCACUUCUGAUAUAGGUAACAAAAGGCCUUGUAGUUUCUUCUUUUUUAAUUUUUAUUAUUAUUUUUUAAGACGGAGUUUUGCCCUUGUCGCCCAGGAUGGAGUGCAAAGGCACAAUCUCCGGCCACUGCAACCUCCGCCUCCCGGGUUCAAGCGAUUCUCCUGCCUCAGCCUCCCAAGUAGCUGGGAUUACUAGCGCCUGCCACCACACCCAGCUACUUUUUAGUAGAGAUGGGGUUUCCAUGUUGGCCAGGCUGGUCUUGAACUCCUGAGCUCAGGUGAUCCACCCACCUCGGCCUUCCAAAGUGCUGGGAUUAAGGGCAUCAGCCACCACGCCUGGCCUGUGGUUUCUUCUUUGCCCUUUCUCUUGGCUCACUCACUUGGCAAGAAAACAGCUACCUUUUCUUUUUUUAAGGAUACUUGAUCAGCACUAUGGAGAGGCCCAUGUAGUUGGAAAAUGAAGCCUUCUGCCAAUCAGCAAUACCUUGAGCCUUUCUAUCAGUGAGAAACUGAGGCCUCCUGUCAAUAGCCAAUAAGGAAAUGAGGCUUCUUGCCAAAAACCACGAGUGGGCCACCUUGGAAGCAGAUACUCUAGCCCCAGUCAAGCUUUCAUAUGGCUUCAGCCUUAGUUAACAUCUUGACCCAUUCUUGAUCCUGAGCCAGAACUACUGAGCUAAAUGCUCCUGAAUUCCUGACCCACAGAAACUGAGAUAACUGUUUAUUUUUCCAAGCUGUUAAGUUUUGCAAUAAUUUAUUGUGUAGCAAUAGAUAAUUAACACAAUCAAACUACCAAAGCUUGCUCAAGAAAAGCUUCACAAUGUCCUAUAUCCGUAAAAGAAAUGGAAUUCGUGGUUAAAACCUUUCAACAGAGAAAACUCCAGGUCUGGAUAGUUUCACUGUUGUAUUCUAUCAAGCAUUUAAGAAAGAAAGAAAAAAUGCCAGCUAUUAGCUUAAUUGUUGCUCCUUUCAAAGUAAUAUUUCUUUUGGCUUCUUUAUACUUUUUCCAUCUUUGGUUAUCAGCAGUUUUACAAUGGUGUAAUUUCAUGUGGUUUUCAUUUUAUUUAUCCUGUUUGGGGUUUAUAAGCGUUCUUGAAUCUGAAGUUUGAUGUCUUUCAAUUUUUUUACAAAGUUUUUAAAUAUAUUUUUUGUAUUUUUUUGUUUGUUUGUUUUACCCAAGUCCUGCCUCAGGAUCUAUCUUUCAAUUUUGUAAAGUUUUUAAUAAUUAUCUUUUUUUUUUCUUUUUUUUGAGACAGAGUCUCAAUCUGUCCCCCAGGCUGAAGUGCAGUGGUGCAAUCUCGGCUCACUGCAAGCAAGCUCCACCUCCCGGGUUCACACCAUUCUCCUGCCUCAGCCUCCCGAGUAGCUGGGACCACAGGCGCCCACCACCAUACCUGGCUAAUUUUUUUGUAUUUUUAGUAGAGGUGGUGUUUCACCAUGUUAGCCAGGAUGGUCUCGAUCUCCUGACCUUGUGAUCCACCUGCCUAGGCCUCCCAAAGUGCUGAGAUUACAGGCAUGAGCCACCACGCCCAGCCAAUAAUUAUCUCUUAAACUAUUGCUUAUGUUUCAUUUUCUCUCUCCUCUCUUGGGACAUAAAUUUCCUCUGUUAGAUCUUUUACUAAAUCUAUGUCUCAACUUUUGUAUUUUUAUUAUUUUGUCUCUCUGCAUCAUUCUGGAUUUUUUUUUCUAAUUUGUGUUCAUUCACCAAUUCUUUCUUCAGCUAUGCCUGUUCUGUCAAUUCUAUCCAUCAGUCUCCUAAUUUCAAGCAUGCUAAUUUUCAGUUCUAGUGUUUCCUUUAAAAUUUUUUUUAAAUUGACACAAAAUAAUUGUACAUAUUUAUGGCAUAUAUGGUGAUAUGUUGAUACAUUUACUGCACAGUGAUUAGAUCAGGGAAAUCAGCAUAUUCUUCAACUCAAAACAUUUCUCAUUUGUGUUGGGAACAUUCAAUAUCCUCUAUUUGGAAAUAUAUAUUAUUAACUAUAGUCAUCCUACAGUGCAGAAGAAUGCUAGAACUUAUCCCCCCCAUCUAGCUGUUUCAUUUUGUUUUUAAUAUAAUUUUCAGUUCUUUGCCAAAAUUCUUGUAAGUUUAAUUUUCUUUUUCUUUUUUUUUUUAAGCUUGUCUCUGAAAACUCCAAUAUCUGGAGGUCCCUACAGAUGUUUAAAUAGAAGCUCCUGCUGGUAUUCACUCAUGUCUCUUUCUGUGGCUACUUUUUAUUGUGUGUUCUACAGUGUACCUGCAAAACUGUUUAUAGAUUUAUUUUGAGGCCUAGUUUGUUAGUUUUCUACACUGUGUAACAAUAUUACCACAAAUCUGGUGUGUUAAGAACAAGACACAUUUAUUAUCUCACAGGUUCUGUGGGUCAGGAGUCCAAGCACAGAUUAGCUGGCUUCUUUCUGUUUCCUGGUCUCAAAAGACUGCAAUCAAGGUGUUAGCCAGAGCUAAGGUCUCAGCUAGGGCUCCACUGAACCAGGAUUCACUUCCAAAAUAACAAGGUUGUUGGCAAUCUUCAGUUCCUGGCACACUACUAGAACAAGGAUCUGUUUUCUUGCUGACUACUGGCUAGAGGCCACCCUUAGUUUCUUGCCAUGAGGCCCUCUCCAAAGGCUGGUUUACAUCAUGGCAGCUUGCUUCUUCAAAGUCAACAAGAGUCUCUUAAUAAGAUGAACAUUAGAAUUUGCUGUAAUCAUGUCCAUCUCAUCAUCUUCGUGGUAGUCUAUGGAUUAGAAUCAAGUCAUGGGAGUCUCCCUCCACACAAGGAAUACCAGGGGACAGGGAUCAUAGUGGCCACCUUAGAGUCUGUCUGCCACACCUAGGAUGUUAAUUUCUUCCUGAAAAGCAAAUGUAGAUUUGCUUCUGCCAUGCAUCUGAGAGCUCUAAAAACCUUAGAUAACCUCAAUCUAAUUUCAGAAACUGAGGGUAUUUGAAGCUGAGCUGCCAUCCCUUUGAAGGCCUGCUUACUUCUGGACCACUGUUACUCCUAAUGAGUAGCCAUUUGGGAUCCUCACUCCAAGUAAGGGAAAGGGUUUACCAGUGCAGGCCCCUUCUUCCUUGUCCCAUAAGGUUGUCAAAAUGGCCAUUCAACAGCUCAGCAAUCACUUACCACUCACAGAAUUGGCCAACACAAGGGAAAACAGCUCCCCUAACAAAGUUUCUGUUUCCUUAGGAAUUCUUCAUUGUUGCCAGCUCGCUGAUGUCUUCAACCAGGUGUUUUUAAUUAAUUUAUUUUUAGUUUAUCUUUUUUUUUUUAAGAGAUGGGGUCUCCCUAUGUUGCUGAGGCUGUUCUCAAACUCCUGAGCUCAAGUGAUCCCCUAGCCUUGCCUCCCAAAGUGCUGGGAUUAAAGGUGUGAGCCACCGUGCCCAGCCCAGAUGUUUUUAAAAUUUUGUUCAGCUGCCAGCUUUUCUAGAUGUUCUCAGUGAAGAUCUAGGACAAAUUUCUUGGUCUACCAUCAUUGUAAAUGAAAGCUUUUAUUUUUAUUUAUUGUAGAGAUGGGGGUCUCCCUAUAUUGCCCAGGCUAGUUUUGAACUCCUGGCCUCAAGCGAUCCUCCUACUUUGGCUUCCCAAACUGCUGGGAUUACAGGUGUGCGCCAUUGUGCUCAGCCUACUUUUUUAUGUCCAGCAUUUGGAGAGGGCCACAUGGCAAGAAAUUCACUCAGCAAGAAAACAGAUUCUUGUUCCAGUAGUUUGCUACGAACUGAAUAUUGGCAACAACUCUGUUAUUUUGGAAGUGAAUCCUGCUUCAGUGGAGCCUCAGCUGAGACCUCAGCUCUGAACACAUCUGAAACACAGAUGUGUUUCAACAUAAUCUAACCUAAAGCAAAACAAAGAUUUUUCAACCUAGAAAAAAGAUUAGAGAGUACUAAUUAUAUUGAAUAUUUCUAUUUCUGAAGCUUUCCAUAAUUUGGAAAAUAAAAUAUUAUUAAAUACUGC